This 380-nucleotide unclassified non-coding RNA is filed under the name Hevea brasiliensis (rubber tree). Lineage: Eukaryota; Viridiplantae; Streptophyta; Magnoliopsida; Malpighiales; Euphorbiaceae. The record is from RNAcentral.
GGGAAAGUUGGCAGUUCAACCAAAAAAUAUAUAUUUUGAAUAUAACCAUUACAACUUAGAAGUUAUCAACAGAAAUAUCGGAAUAAAAAAAAGAAUUGCUUGGAUUCAAAGCACAAAAUGGAUCGGCUCAAUUCAGAGCUUGUGUCCAAAAGAAACACGUGGGGGCGGAAGAGCUUGCAGUUUAAUUAACGAUGAAAGCCUGAACAACAACGCUAUGCAAUGCAAGCGAGGAGAGGAUUCAGCUGAAAAUAAUCGACAAAAAUAGCCGUUGUGCUUUAAUUAAAAGAACCAAAUUUCUGAACACUGCGUUCUUUAUUAAUGCAAUAAUACUAGCAUUGCAUUGCUGCGCGCAACCUAAAAAAAAAAAAAAUGAUUUGAAA